UGGGGAAUUUUGGACAAUGGGCGAAAGCCUGAUCCAGCAAUGCCGCGUGUGUGAAGAAGGCCUUCGGGUUGUAAAGCACUUUUGUCCGGAAAGAAAUCCUUGGCUCUAAUACAGUCGGGGGAUGACGGUACCGGAAGAAUAAGCACCGGCUAACUACGUGCCAGCAGCCGCGGUAAUACGUAGGGUGCAAGCGUUAAUCGGAAUUACUGGGCGUAAAGCGUGCGCAGGCGGUUUGCUAAGACCGAUGUGAAAUCCCCGGGCUCAACCUGGGAACUGCAUUGGUGACUGGCAGGCUAGAGUAUGGCAGAGGGGGGUAGAAUUCCACGUGUAGCAGUGAAAUGCGUAGAGAUGUGGAGGAAUACCGAUGGCGAAGGCAGCCCCCCUGGGCCAAUACUGACGCUCAUGCACGAAAAGGCGUGGGGAGCAAAACAGGAUUAGAUACCCCUGGUAGUCCACGCCCCUAAAACGAUGUCAACUAGUUGUUGGGGAUUCAUUUCCUAGUAACGUAGCUAACGCGUGAAGUUGACCGCCUGGGGAGUACGGUCGCAAGAUUAAAACUCAAAGGAAUUGACGGGGUCAUAGCUGUUUCCU
Molecule: ribosomal RNA, 591 nt
Filed under: uncultured bacterium
Lineage: Bacteria
Description: partial 16S ribosomal RNA
Rfam family: Bacterial small subunit ribosomal RNA
Source: RNAcentral